This 227-nucleotide non-coding RNA is filed under the name Neisseria weaveri. The record is from RNAcentral. Lineage: Bacteria; Pseudomonadati; Pseudomonadota; Betaproteobacteria; Neisseriales; Neisseriaceae.
GGAAAACCGUCGGGCCGGCUUGGCAAAGGCCGUCUGAAAAUUUUCAGACGGCCUUUCGGGGCGGGUUGUUAAGUUUAAUCAAAAAGUUCAGAUAAUGUUGAUAACGGCGGUAUCGUCCGUUUUGGCCUGCUCGGUAAUAGCAUAAGACGGUACUUGGCUGCCGCUAAAACCGGUGAGGCCGUCUGAAUAUGGAUUGCCGGAAAGCAGUUCGGCGUUGCUGUUUUCCA